GUCGUAACAAGGUUUCCGUAGGUGAACCUGCGGAAGGAUCAUUACCGAGUGAGGGCCCUCUGGGUCCAACCUCCCACCCGUGUUUAUUUUACCUUGUUGCUUCGGCGGGCCCGCCUUAACUGGCCGCCGGGGGGCUCACGCCCCCGGGCCCGCGCCCGCCGAAGACACCCUCGAACUCUGUCUGAAGAUUGAAGUCUGAGUGAAAAUAUAAAUUAUUUAAAACUUUCAACAACGGAUCUCUUGGUUCCGGCAUCGAUGAAGAACGCAGCGAAAUGCGAUACGUAAUGUGAAUUGCAAAUUCAGUGAAUCAUCGAGUCUUUGAACGCACAUUGCGCCCCCUGGUAUUCCGGGGGGCAUGCCUGUCCGAGCGUCAUUGCUGCCCUCAAGCCCGGCUUGUGUGUUGGGCCCCGUCCUCCGAUCUCCGGGGGACGGGCCCGAAAGGCAGCGGCGGCACCGCGUCCGGUCCUCGAGCGUAUGGGGCUUUGUCACCCGCUCUGUAGGCCCGGCCGGCGCUUGCCGAUCAACCCAAAUUUUUAUCCAGGUUGACCUCGGAUCAGGUAGGGAUACCCGCUGAACUUAAGCAUAUCAAUAAGCGGAGGACGCGUCCGGUCCUCGAGCGU
This 620-nucleotide ribosomal RNA is filed under the name Penicillium camemberti. RNAcentral describes it as "eukaryotic LSU rRNA". The stretch from base 221 to 373 matches the Rfam family "5.8S ribosomal RNA". The record is from RNAcentral. Lineage: Eukaryota; Fungi; Ascomycota; Eurotiomycetes; Eurotiales; Aspergillaceae.